RNAcentral lists this ribosomal RNA (260 nucleotides) under uncultured bacterium. RNAcentral describes it as "partial 16S ribosomal RNA". It matches the Rfam family "Bacterial small subunit ribosomal RNA", at positions 28 to 280 of the family's 1533-position model. The record is from RNAcentral.
GACGAACGCUGGCGGCGUGCUUAACACAUGCAAGUCGAGCGGUAAGGCCCUUUCGGGGUACGACGAGCGGCGAACGGGUGAGUAACACGUGGGUGGACCUCGCCCUUACGUCUCUGGGAGUAAGACCUGGGAAACGUAGGGUCGUAAUACCGGAUAUGACUCCAUGACGCAUGUUGUGGGGUGGGAAAGCCUUGUGCGGCUAGGAGUGGCCCGCGGCCUAUCAGCUUGUUGGUGGGGUGAUGGCCUACCAAGGCGACGAC